CCUACGGGGGGCAGCAGUGGGGAAUAUUGGACAAUGGGCGCAAGCCUGAUCCAGCCAUGCCGCGUGUGUGAAGAAGGCCUUUUGGUUGUAAAGCACUUUAAGCGAGGAGGAGGCUCUUUAGGAUAAUACCCUGAAUGAGUGGACGUUACUCGCAGAAUAAGCACCGGCUAACUCUGUGCCAGCAGCCGCGGUAAUACAGAGGGUGCGAGCGUUAAUCGGAAUUACUGGGCGUAAAGCGCGCGUAGGCGGUUAUGUAAGUUGGAUGUGAAAUCCCCGGGCUUAACCUGGGCACUGCAUUCAAAACUGCAUAGCUAGAGUAUGGGAGAGGAAGGUAGAAUUCCAGGUGUAGCGGUGAAAUGCGUAGAGAUCUGGAGGAAUACCGAUGGCGAAGGCAGCCUUCUGGCCUAAUACUGACGCUGAGGUGCGAAAGCAUGGGGAGCAAACAGGAUUAGAUACCCCAGUAGUC
RNAcentral lists this ribosomal RNA (466 nucleotides) under uncultured bacterium. RNAcentral describes it as "bacterial SSU rRNA". It matches the Rfam family "Bacterial small subunit ribosomal RNA", at positions 338 to 795 of the family's 1533-position model. The record is from RNAcentral.